UGUAAAACAUUGAAGGGCUACCUUGAUUUCAAGAUUUAUGUGGACGUGUAGUAUCACGAAAUGAAAAAAGGAAUUUUUUUUGACUUUUUUCUAUCCAGAAAGAAAACUUGUUCGUAGGAACUAUUUUCAUCCUAAAGGGUGAAAAUAAAAUAAGAUGAACUGAAACAUCUAAGUAAUCUUUUAAAAAAUCAACCGAGAUAUUGUUAGUAAUGGCGAGUGAACGCAAUUUAGAUUUGUUUAAAAAUAAUUAAUUAUUGAAUUAUUCAAAGAAGGUGAAAUUCCUGUAAAUCAAUUUUUUAUUUUUAACUAAGUAAAACAAAACCAGCUUAUUUUGUUUGAAGAAUGGGGUCCCACCCUCAAAAUCUAAACCUUGUCUUGGAAAUCGAUAGUAAACAAGUACCGUGAGGGAAAGGUGAAAAAGAACUUUUGAGAGUGAAAAGUUUAAAAUUCAAUGUUUAAUAGCAGUCGGAGCUUUAUUAGUGACGGCGUACCUUUUGCAUAAUGGGUCAGUGAGUUUUUUUUACAAGCAAGCUUAAGUUGAAAAAUGAAGGCGAUUAAAAAUAUAUUAAAAGUUUGUGAGAAAAAACCCGAAACUAAGUGAUCUAACUAUGAACAGGUUGAAAAUUUAAUGGAAACAUUAAUUGGAGGACCGAACUCGUGUAUGUUGAAAAAUACUGGGAUGAUUUGUGGUUAGGGGUGAAAGGCUAAUCAAACUUAGAGAUAGCUGGUUUUCCGCGAAAUCUAUUUAAGUAGAGUGUUCAAAAAAGAAAAAUUGGGGUAGAGCACUCCAUAAGCUAGGGGGGUUUUCGGAUCUUACCGAACUUAAGGAAACUCCGAAUACAUUUUUGUCUUCUUGAACAACCGGACUGUGGGCGCUAAGGUUCAUAGUCGAGAGGGAAACAGCCCAGAUUGUUCGAUAAGGUCCUUAAUAAAAUUUUAUUUGAGAAGAAGUGUGAAGGUUCAGACAUUCCCGUAGUAGGCUUGGAAGCAGCCAGCUAGUUAAAAAAGCGUAACAGCUUACGGGUUUAACUUUUAUGCGCUUAAAAUGUAAGGGAUUUAAAAUUUUAACCGAAUCGACAAACUUGUUAAAAGUGGUAGCGGAACGUCUUGGAGUUUAAUGAAGUUAAUUUGUUAAAAUUAAUAGAGAAACCAAGAGUGAGAAUACUGACAUUAGUAGCGAUAAACAAUGAUAAACAUUGUCGCCGUAAGUCCAAGGUUUCCGACGUAAAAUUAGAUUUCGUCGAGAAAAGACGGUCCCUAAAAUAAAGGUGUAAACCUGACUUGAUGGGUAUUAACUAAGAUUCUGAAUAAAGUGACGAAAAAAGAGGUUAAUACGAAAAAAUUGAUUUUUUCGUGUUUAUUAUUUUUUCCAGGAAAUAGCUGAAAAAAAAAACCGUACUGAAAACCGACACAGGUGGACGAGUAGAGUAUACUAAGGCGUUUGAAAUAAUUAUGGUAAAGGAACUCGGCAAAAUGACUCUGUAACUUCGGGAGAAGGAGUGAUUAAAAAAAAGAAAUUUUUUUUGAUUGGCACAGAAUUGGGGGUAGCGACUGUUUAGUAAAAACACAGGUCUCUGCUAAUUCGUAAGAAGAUGUAUAGGGACUGACACCUGCCCGGUGCUGUAAGAUUAAAGGGAGAGGUUUUGGCCUUUAACUUAAGUCCCAGUAAACGGCGGCUGUAACUCUGACGGUCCAAAGGUAGCGAAAUUCCUUGUCGGGUAAGUUCCGACCUGCAUGAAUGGUGUAACGACUUCCCCGCUGUCUCUACCAUAAAUUCAGUGAAAUUGAAAUAUCUGUGCAGAUGCAGAUUACCUACAGCUAGACGGAAAGACCCUAUGCACCUUUACUAUUUUUAUACACUGUUCAAAAAAAAUUUUUGUCUAGUCUAGGUGGGAGCUUUGGUAAUCAUGGAAAACCACUCGUAAAUUUUUUUUGAACUCAUUCUUGAUGAAAACAAUGUAUAUUAGGUAGUUUGACUGGGGCGGUGACCUCCUAAAAAGUAACGGAGGUAUUUACAAGGUAGGCUCAUUAGGUUGAUCCCUAAGAAGAGUGUAAUGGCAUAAGCCUGCUUGACUGCAAGAUUUACAAAUCAAGCAGAAACGAAAGUUGAACAUAGUGAUCCGGUGGUUCUGUGUGGAAAGACCAUCGCUCAAUGGAUAAAAGGUACGCUAGGGAUAACAGGCUGAUGACUCUUAAGAGUCCCUAUCGACGGAGUCGUUUGGCACCUCGAUGUCGGCUCAUCACAUCCUGGAGCUGAAGGUGGUUCCAAGGGUUCGGCUGUUCGCCGAGGAAGGUGGUACGUGAGCUGGGUUUAGAACGUCGUGAGACAGUUCGGUCCCUAUCUACUGUAGGCGUCAGAAAACUGAGAAACUUAGACCUUAGUACGAGAGGACCAGGAAAAGUAAAUCCAUGGUAUACCGGUUGUUUUAUCAAAGGCAUGGCCGGAAAGCUACAUUUAUACUAGAUAAUUGCUGAAAGCAUAUAAGUAAGAAUCUAUUUUCAAGAUUAGUUUUCUAUAAGAAUCGUGAAAGAUUAUCACGUUGAUAGGCCUUUGGUGGACAAACUGUAAAGUUUGAAGCUAAAAGGUACUAAUUUUCUAAAAAA
This is a ribosomal RNA of 2604 nucleotides. It matches the Rfam family "Bacterial large subunit ribosomal RNA". The record is from Rfam.